CGGGGGGAGCAAGCGUUGUUCGGAUUUACUGGGCGUAAAGGGCGCGUAGGCGGCCACCGCAAGUCGACUGUGAAAUCUCCGGGCUUAACCCGGAACGGUCAGCCGAUACUGCGGGGCUAGAGUGCAGAAGGGGCAACUGGAAUUCUCGGUGUAGCGGUGAAAUGCGUAGAUAUCGAGAGGAACACCUGCGGCGAAGGCGGGUUGCUGGGCUGACACUGACGCUGAGGCGCGAAAGCUAGGGGAGCGAACGGGAUUAGAUACCCCGGUAGUCCUAGCCUUAAGCGAUGAAUGCUUGGUGUCUGGGGUUUUAUAGUCCCCGGGUGCCGUCGCUAACGCUUUAAGCAUUCCGCCUGGGGAGUACGGUCGCAAGACUG
RNAcentral lists this ribosomal RNA (374 nucleotides) under uncultured organism. RNAcentral describes it as "bacterial SSU rRNA". It matches the Rfam family "Bacterial small subunit ribosomal RNA", at positions 526 to 896 of the family's 1533-position model. The record is from RNAcentral.